GGGGAAUAUUGGACAAUGGGCGAAAGCCUGAUCCAGCAAUGCCGCGUGUGUGAAGAAGGCCUUCGGGUUGUAAAGCACUUUAAGCUGGGAAGAAAAAGCUCCGCCUAAUACGUGGAGCCUUGACGGUACCGGCAGAAUAAGCACCGGCUAACUCUGUGCCAGCAGCCGCGGUAAUACAGAGGGUGCGAGCGUUAAUCGGAUUUACUGGGCGUAAAGCGUGCGUAGGCGGUUCGUUAAGUCGGUUGUGAAAGCCCUGGGCUUAACCUGGGAAUUGCAGUCGAUACUGGCGGGCUAGAGAACGGUAGAGGGAGGCGGAACUCCAGGUGUAGCGGUGAAAUGCGUAGAUAUCUGGAAGAACACCGAUGGCGAAGGCAACCUCCUGGGCCUGUUCUGACGCUGAGGCACGAAAGCGUGGGUAGCAAACA
Molecule: ribosomal RNA, 425 nt
Filed under: uncultured Nevskia sp.
Lineage: Bacteria; Pseudomonadati; Pseudomonadota; Gammaproteobacteria; Nevskiales; Nevskiaceae
Description: bacterial SSU rRNA
Rfam family: Bacterial small subunit ribosomal RNA
Source: RNAcentral